RNAcentral lists this ribosomal RNA (333 nucleotides) under uncultured bacterium. RNAcentral describes it as "partial 16S ribosomal RNA". It matches the Rfam family "Bacterial small subunit ribosomal RNA", at positions 338 to 668 of the family's 1533-position model. The record is from RNAcentral.
CCUACGGGUGGCAGCAGUGAGGAAUAUUGGUCAAUGGGCGGAAGCCUGAACCAGCCAAGUAGCGUGCAUGAUGACGGCCCUACGGGCUGUAAACUGCUUUUAUACGGGAAUAACGCGCCUUACGUGUAGGGCUUUGCAUUUACCGUAUGCAUACGGACCGGCUAAUUCCGUGCCAGCAGCCGCGGUAAUACGGAAGGUCCGGGCGUUAUCCGGAUGGAUUGGGUUUAGAGGGAGCGUAGGCGGCAUGUCACGCGUGCUGUGAAAUGUGCGGGCUCAACCCGGGCCUUGCAGCGCGAACUGGAGGAAUGGCGUCCGCAGAAGGCAGGCGGAAUU